Long non-coding RNA from Oncorhynchus tshawytscha (Chinook salmon), 446 nucleotides. The record is from Ensembl. Lineage: Eukaryota; Metazoa; Chordata; Actinopteri; Salmoniformes; Salmonidae.
GGGGGAGAGGUGUGAGAGGGGGUCAAAGACAGAAAGGGAAAGAUGAGAACAGAGGAGCAGGGAAGAAAGAGGAGGUGGGGGAGAGGUGUGAGAGGGGGUCAAAGACAGAAAGGGAAAGAGAUGAGAACAGAGGAGCAGGGAAGAAAGAGAGGUGGGGGAGAGGUGUGAGAGGGGGUCAAAGACAGAAAGGGAAAGAUGAGAACAGAGGAGCAGGGAAGAAGUAGGAGGUGGGGGAGAGGUGUGAGAGGGGGUCAAAGACAGAAAGGGAAAGAGCAGAACAGAGCAGAACAGAGGAGCAGGGAAGAAAGCUUAUGAUUCAUGAAUCACAGUGCAACUAAACUACGUAUUCUCUCAGGUCAUCACAGUUACAUAAUAGUAUCUCUACCGGUGUCUCCUAACCAGCCUUGGGCCCCCAGUUGGGUUGUCUUUGAGCGGAUGAGGUGACG